Molecule: ribosomal RNA, 253 nt
Filed under: uncultured bacterium
Lineage: Bacteria
Description: partial 16S ribosomal RNA
Rfam family: Bacterial small subunit ribosomal RNA
Source: RNAcentral
UACGGAGGGUGCAAGCGUUAUCCGGAAUCACUGGGUUUAAAGGGUGCGGAGGCGGCUAGAUAAGUCAGAGGUGAAAGUUUGUCGCUUAACGAUAGAACUGCCUUUGAUACUGUUAAGCUUGAAAGUAGGUGAGGUUGGCGGAAUGUGACAUGUAGCGGUGAAAUGCAUAGAUAUGUCAUAGAACACCGAUUGUGAAGGCAGCCGGCGAACCUGACUGUGACGCUGAGGCACGAAAGCGUGGGUAGCGAACAGG